Molecule: unclassified non-coding RNA, 417 nt
Filed under: uncultured Sebacina
Lineage: Eukaryota; Fungi; Basidiomycota; Agaricomycetes; Sebacinales; Sebacinaceae
Description: sequence contains ITS2
Rfam family: 5.8S ribosomal RNA (bases 1-154)
Source: RNAcentral
AACUUUUGACAAUGGAUCACUUGGCUCUCGCAUCGAAGAAGAACGCAGCGAAAUGCGAUAAGUAAUGUGAAUUGCAGAAUUCAGUGAAUCAUCGAAUCUUUGAACGCACCUUGCACCCUUUGGCAUUCCGAAGGGUAUGCUCGUUUGAGUGUCAUUGUACUCUCACACUCCCGAUGCUUUUGGAUUGGGAGUGGUGGACUUGGGUGUUGCUGCUUUACUGUGGCUCACCUCAAAUGGAGUAGUGCAACUCUUGGUUGGACAUAGUACGGCGUGAUAAGUGUCUUCGCCGGCGCCUCAUUAGAGGGUGGCCGAUCGGGAGCUCUGUGCUUCAAACCGUCUUCGGACAACAUCUGACAACUUGACCUCAAAUCGAGUAGGACUACCCGCUGAACUUAAGCAUAUCAAUAAGCGGAGGCU